GUCCAUCUAACGAGUCCCCAAUAGGAUGAAACGUGCGUCAUGUAU
Schistosoma margrebowiei is the source of this 45-nucleotide non-coding RNA. Lineage: Eukaryota; Metazoa; Platyhelminthes; Trematoda; Strigeidida; Schistosomatidae. The record is from Rfam.